Molecule: ribosomal RNA, 1372 nt
Filed under: uncultured bacterium
Lineage: Bacteria
Description: bacterial SSU rRNA
Rfam family: Bacterial small subunit ribosomal RNA
Source: RNAcentral
GAUGAACGCUGGCGGCGUGCCUAAUACAUGCAAGUCGAGCGAACGGACGAGAAGCUUGCUUCUCUGAUGUUAGCGGCGGACGGGUGAGUAACACGUGGAUAACCUACCUAUAAGACUGGGAUAACUUCGGGAAACCGGAGCUAAUACCGGAUAAUAUUUUGAACCGCAUGGUUCAAAAGUAAAAGACGGUCUUGCUGUCACUUAUAGAUGGAUCCGCGCUGCAUUAGCUAGUUGGUAAGGUAACGGCUUACCAAGGCAACGAUGCAUAGCCGACCUGAGAGGGUGAUCGGCCACACUGGAACUGAGACACGGUCCAGACUCCUACGGGAGGCAGCAGUAGGGAAUCUUCCGCAAUGGGCGAAAGCCUGACGGAGCAACGCCGCGUGAGUGAUGAAGGUCUUCGGAUCGUAAAACUCUGAUAUUAGGGAAGAAUAUAUGUGUAAGUAACUGUGCACAUCUUGACGGUACCUAAUCAGAAAGCCACGGCUAACUACGUGCCAGCAGCCGCGGUAAUACGUAGGUGGCAAGCGUUAUCCGGAAUUAUUGGGCGUAAAGCGCGCGUAGGCGGUUUUUUAAGUCUGAUGUGAAAGCCCACGGCUCAACCGUGGAGGGUCAUUGGAAACUGGAAAACUUGAGUGCAGAAGAGGAAAGUGGAAUUCCAUGUGUAGCGGUGAAAUGCGCAGAGAUAUGGAGGAACACCAGUGGCGAAGGCGACUUUCUGGUCUGUAACUGACGCUGAUGUGCGAAAGCGUGGGGAUCAAACAGGAUUAGAUACCCUGGUAGUCCACGCCGUAAACGAUGAGUGCUAAGUGUUAGGGGGUUUCCGCCCCUUAGUGCUGCAGCUAACGCAUUAAGCACUCCGCCUGGGGAGUACGACCGCAAGGUUGAAACUCAAAGGAAUUGACGGGGACCCGCACAAGCGGUGGAGCAUGUGGUUUAAUUCGAAGCAACGCGAAGAACCUUACCAAAUCUUGACAUCCUUUGACAACUCUAGAGAUAGAGCCUUCCCCUUCGGGGGACAAAGUGACAGGUGGUGCAUGGUUGUCGUCAGCUCGUGUCGUGAGAUGUUGGGUUAAGUCCCGCAACGAGCGCAACCCUUAAGCUUAGUUGCCAUCAUUAAGUUGGGCACUCUAAGUUGACUGCCGGUGACAAACCGGAGGAAGGUGGGGAUGACGUCAAAUCAUCAUGCCCCUUAUGAUUUGGGCUACACACGUGCUACAAUGGACAAUACAAAGGGCAGCGAAACCGCGAGGUCAAGCAAAUCCCAUAAAGUUGUUCUCAGUUCGGAUUGUAGUCUGCAACUCGACUACAUGAAGCUGGAAUCGCUAGUAAUCGUAGAUCAGCAUGCUACGGUGAAUACGUUCCCGGGUCU